This 290-nucleotide ribosomal RNA is filed under the name Escherichia coli. RNAcentral describes it as "partial 23S ribosomal RNA". It matches the Rfam family "Bacterial large subunit ribosomal RNA", at positions 1 to 282 of the family's 2925-position model. Lineage: Bacteria; Pseudomonadati; Pseudomonadota; Gammaproteobacteria; Enterobacterales; Enterobacteriaceae. The record is from RNAcentral.
GGGUUGUGAGGUUAAGCGACUAAGCGUACACGGUGGAUGCCCUGGCAGUCAGAGGCGAUGAAGGACGUGCUAAUCUGCGAUAAGCGUCGGUAAGGUGAUAUGAACCGUUAUAACCGGCGAUUUCCGAAUGGGGAAACCCAGUGUGUUUCGACACACUAUCAUUAACUGAAUCCAUAGGUUAAUGAGGCGAACCGGGGGAACUGAAACAUCUAAGUACCCCGAGGAAAAGAAAUCAACCGAGAUUCCCCCAGUAGCGGCGAGCGAACGGGGAGGAGCCCAGAGCCUGAAUC